AUUUCACGCGGUUAGGGUGAUUCAGAUACAAAUGUUGUAAGUAGCUAGGAUGACAUAUUGUACAAGAUAAAGUAGAAUAUUACGUAUAGAGUGAUUGGUCUUUACUGUACAAAACUAAAUGCUAAUAUGAUUCGCGGUGGUUCUCCUGAUAACUUUGGGAACUUAAUUACACAGUAAGCUAUGUUAAAUAUAAAAAUGUUUAAAACAACUGUUGUACUCUAAAAGCUUAAGCUAUUAGAUAACGGUGUUUUAAACAUUUUUAUAUUUAACACUCCUCCUCACGUCUGGGCUCGAGACUUAAUUAAUAUGCUAGGAGCCUAGCGUUACUUGAACUCAGAACCUCCUGCUCUGAUACCAUAUGAAACAACCGUUGUACUCUAAAAGCUUAAGCUAUUAGAUAACGGUGUUUUAAACAUUUUUAUAUUUAACAAGCUA
Molecule: long non-coding RNA, 435 nt
Filed under: Ananas comosus (pineapple)
Lineage: Eukaryota; Viridiplantae; Streptophyta; Magnoliopsida; Poales; Bromeliaceae
Description: long non-coding RNA (ACOM_LNC027586)
Source: RNAcentral